Molecule: ribosomal RNA, 465 nt
Filed under: uncultured bacterium
Lineage: Bacteria
Description: partial 16S ribosomal RNA
Rfam family: Bacterial small subunit ribosomal RNA
Source: RNAcentral
GAUGAACGCUGGCGGCGUGCUUAACACAUGCAAGUCGAACGGAAAGGCUCCUGCUUGCAUGGUUACUCGAGUGGCGAACGGGUGAGUAACACGUGGGUGAUCUGCCCUGCACUUCGGGAUAAGCCUGGGAAACUGGGUCUCAUACCGGAUAUGACGUUGUUUUCCAUGCCAUUGUGGAAAGUUGUUCGGUUUGGGUUUGGCUCGCGGCCUAUCCGCUUGUUGGUUGGGUAAUGGCCUACCAAGGCGUCGACGGGUAGCCGGCCUGAGAGGGUGUACGGCGACAAUGGGACUGAGAGACGGACCAGAAGCCUACGGGAGGCAGUAGUGGGGAAUAUGGCACAAUGGGGGCAAGCGUGAGGCAGAGACGCCGCGUGGGGGAUGACGGCCUUCGGGUUGUAAACACCUGUCGCUAGGGACGAAGCGCAAGUGACGGUACCUGGAGAAGAAGCACCGGCUAACUACGUG